UACGUAGGGUGCGAGCGUUAAUCGGAAUUACUGGGCGUAAAGUGUGCGCAGGCGGCCGAGCAAGUCGAGUGUGAAAGCCCCGGGCUUAACUUGGGAAUUGCGCUCGAAACUACUUGGCUGGAGUGUGGCAGAGGAAGGUGGAAUUCCAGGUGUAGCGGUGAAAUGCGUAGAGAUCUGGAGGAACACCGGUGGCGAAGGCGGGUCUCUGGGCCGAAACUGACGCUGAGGAGCGAAAGCGUGGGGAGCGAACAGG
This 253-nucleotide ribosomal RNA is filed under the name uncultured bacterium. RNAcentral describes it as "partial 16S ribosomal RNA". It matches the Rfam family "Bacterial small subunit ribosomal RNA", at positions 524 to 776 of the family's 1533-position model. The record is from RNAcentral.